This 254-nucleotide long non-coding RNA is filed under the name Mytilus galloprovincialis (Mediterranean mussel). The record is from RNAcentral. Lineage: Eukaryota; Metazoa; Mollusca; Bivalvia; Mytilida; Mytilidae.
CCGGAUUUGUAAUCACUUAAGCAACACGACGGGUGCCAUAUGUGGAGCAGGAUCUGCUUACCCUUCCGGAGCACCUGAGAUCACCCCUAGUUUUUGGUGGGGUUCGUGUUGUUUAUUCUUUAGUUUUCUAUGUUGUGUCGUGUGUACUAUUGUUUUUCUGUUUGUCUUUUUUAUUUUUAGCCAUGGCGUUGUCAGUUUGUUUUAGAUUUAUGAGUUUGACUGUCCCUUUGGUAUCUUUCGUCCCUCUUUUAUAC